UGGGGAAUAUUGGACAAUGGGCGCAAGCCUGAUCCAGCCAUGCCGCGUGAGUGAUGAAGGCCCUAGGGUUGUAAAGCUCUUUCACCGGUGAAGAUAAUGACGGUAACCGGAGAAGAAGCCUCGGCUAACUUCGUGCCAGCAGCCGCGGUAAUACGAAGGGGGCUAGCGUUGUUCGGAUUUACUGGGCGUAAAGCGCACGUAGGCGGACUAUUAAGUCAGGGGUGAAAUCCCGGGGCUCAACCCCGGAACUGCCUUUGAUUCUGGUAGUCUUGAGUUCGAGAGAGGUGAGUGGAAUUCCGAGUGUAGAGGUGAAAUUCGUAGAUAUUCGGAGGAACACCAGUGGCGAAGGCGGCUCACUGGCUCGAUACUGACGCUGAGGUGCGAAAGCGUGGGGAGCAAACAGG
This 404-nucleotide ribosomal RNA is filed under the name Actinomycetes bacterium. RNAcentral describes it as "Actinobacteria bacterium partial 16S ribosomal RNA". It matches the Rfam family "Bacterial small subunit ribosomal RNA", at positions 355 to 776 of the family's 1533-position model. Lineage: Bacteria; Bacillati; Actinomycetota; Actinomycetes. The record is from RNAcentral.